Molecule: ribosomal RNA, 369 nt
Filed under: uncultured organism
Description: bacterial SSU rRNA
Rfam family: Bacterial small subunit ribosomal RNA
Source: RNAcentral
CGGAGGGAGCUAGCGUUGUUCGGAAUUACUGGGCGUAAAGCGCACGUAGGCGGCUUUGUAAGUUAGGGUGAAAGCCUGGAGCUCAACUUCAGAAUUGCCCUUAAGACUGCAUCGCUUGAAUCCAGGAGAGGUGAGUGGAAUUCCGAGUGUAGAGGUGAAAUUCGUAGAUAUUCGGAAGAACACCAGUGGCGAAGGCGGCUCACUGGACUGGUAUUGACGCUGAGGUGCGAAAGCGUGGGAGCAAGCAGGAUUAGAUACCCUGGUAGUCCACGCCGUAAACGAUGAUAACUAGCUGUCAGGGGUCUUAGACUUUUGGUGGCGCAGCUAACGCAUUAAGUUAUCCGCCUGGGGAGUACGGCCGCAAGGUUA